Long non-coding RNA from Peromyscus eremicus (cactus mouse), 278 nucleotides. RefSeq lists it as uncharacterized. The transcript has 3 exons. The record is from RefSeq and is a predicted model, not a curated record. NCBI's taxonomy places the organism in Eukaryota, Metazoa, Chordata, Mammalia, Rodentia, Cricetidae.
GUUUCUAUAAUAGCUUUCAAACUAUCCCCUAGACACUACUGCAGGAUGAGAGCUGAGAGAUGCCGCCUUUCAAUGGUGCUGAGCUAAGCAGUUAAUACUGGAUCACUUGAGAGUGAUCACCAAAUGGGACUUGACUGGUGUACAAGGAAGCUACUGUUUAAAAGGGAAGUGCAAAUGAAUCUCACUUGUAAGGUGAUAGAUGGAGAAGAAAGCAGAGAAGGUGAAUAAGUAAUAAACAGGAGGAGCACAGGCAUGAGAAUAAGAAUUGGGGGGAAAAA